This 368-nucleotide ribosomal RNA is filed under the name uncultured bacterium. RNAcentral's name for it is "partial 16S ribosomal RNA". It matches the Rfam family "Bacterial small subunit ribosomal RNA", at positions 338 to 698 of the family's 1533-position model. The record is from RNAcentral.
CCUACGGGAGGCAGCAGUGGGGAAUAUUGCGCAAUGGGCGAAAGCCUGACGCAGCGACGCCGCGUGAGGGAUGAAGGUCUUCUGAUCGUAAACCUCUGUCAGCAGGGAAGAACGGUCCCUUUGCUGAUCAGCAUUGAAUUGACGGUACCUGCAAAGGAAGCACCGGCUAACUCCGUGCCAGCAGCCGCGGUAAUACGGAGGGUGCGAGUGUUAAUCGGAAUUACUGGGCGUAAAGCGCUCGUAGGCGGUAUGUCAAGUCAAGGGUGAAAUCCCCGCGCUCAACGUGGGAACUGCCUUUGAAACUGGCAAACUGGAGUGUGUGAGAGGAUAGUGGAAUGUAAGGUGUAGCAGUGAAAUCCAUAGAUAUC